GAUUUUGAGAGUGAUUAUGUGGAGCUUGGGGAUGAACUUGGGCUUGAUACUGAGGGGAAUGGUGACACAGUCUUCUUCAACGUGCACAUUAUUCAGCUAUAAUAGCAUCUCCAUCCUCCCCAUUCUUCUUCUCUCCAACGUUUCUUGAACCCUUUUGAAUUGCUUGAGUAGUUACUUUCAAUGUUGCAAAACUCAUAAUACGACCAUUUUUAAUUCCAUUCUCUAUCACCUCUCGUAUUCGG
Molecule: long non-coding RNA, 242 nt
Filed under: Capsicum annuum
Lineage: Eukaryota; Viridiplantae; Streptophyta; Magnoliopsida; Solanales; Solanaceae
Description: long non-coding RNA (CANN_LNC011006)
Source: RNAcentral